GAUGAACGCUGGCGGCGUGCUUAACACAUGCAAGUCGAGCGAGAAAUUUAUAUAUGAUUCUUCGGAAGAUUAUAUAAUUGGAAAGCGGCGGACGGGUGAGUAACGCGUGGGUAACCUGCCCUGUACAGAGGAAUAGCCAUUGGAAACGAUGAUUAAUGCCUCAUAAGACUACAGUAUCGCAUGAUACAGUAGCCAAAAACUCCGGUGGUACAGGAUGGACCCGCGUUAGAUUAGCUAGUUGGUAAGGUAAAGGCUUACCAAGGCGACGAUCUAUAGCCGACCUGAGAGGGUGAUCGGCCACACUGGAACUGAGACACGGUCCAGACUCCUACGGGAGGCAGCAGUGGGGAAUAUUGCACAAUGGGCGAAAGCCUGAUGCAGCAACGCCGCGUGAGCGAAGAAGGUCUUCGGAUCGUAAAGCUCUGUCCUAUGGGAAGAACACAAUGACGGUACCAUAGGAGGAAGCCCCGG
This 471-nucleotide ribosomal RNA is filed under the name uncultured bacterium. RNAcentral describes it as "bacterial SSU rRNA". It matches the Rfam family "Bacterial small subunit ribosomal RNA", at positions 28 to 496 of the family's 1533-position model. The record is from RNAcentral.